This 2204-nucleotide unclassified non-coding RNA is filed under the name Hevea brasiliensis (rubber tree). Lineage: Eukaryota; Viridiplantae; Streptophyta; Magnoliopsida; Malpighiales; Euphorbiaceae. The record is from RNAcentral.
AUCAAAUCGAGCUCCACAAGAAAUUUCUCUCAACACAAAUUUUAUCAUAAUAACAAAAUUUUCCGAGAAUCCAACCCAAUUUUUUUUUUCUAUGAAACCCAUAAUUUUCUGAGAAUCUAACCGAUAACUUAACUAAAUGAAGUGGCCCCAUUAACAUCCACCCUUUCACAACAAGUAAACAAUCGUAAACAGAACGGCAGUAAACGAGCAUUUCUUUUGGUUCUUCAACGAAGGAAACAGCUAAGCUCAUCUUCAACCAGGGACCCUGAAUCUUUAUCCUUUUCUAUGUCGACAGCUCUAACUAUAUUCUUUUCAAUUUUCUCUCUACCCAAAAUUUUCUUGUUUCAGAUUUCAAUGGCAACUCUAGAUCCCAUCCAAGAAACCUUUCUCCUUUGCCUUUCUACCCAUUCCUUACCCUACCCACCAAUCUCUCAAGUCACCUAUUUUCCCAGCAGUCCUCAUUACGCUUCCGUCUUACAAUCAUACAUAAGAAACCUCAGAUUCACAUCCUCUGCGACCCUAAAGCCUCUGUUCAUUGUAACCCCUACCCAUGUUUCUCAUAUUCAAGCUUCGAUUAUCUGCUCCAAAAUUCUUGGCUUGGAGAUGAGAAUUCGUAGUGGAGGCCAUGAUUAUGAUGGUCUUUCUUAUAUAUCAAGCGUGCCGUUUAUCAUUCUUGACAUGUUCAAUCUGCGAUCUGUAAGUGUGGAUGUAGAAGAUGAAAGUGCUUGGGUGGAAUCAGGUGCUACUCUAGGCGAAGUUUUUUAUUGGAUUGCUAAAAAAAGCAGGAUUCAUGGAUACCCAGCUGGGGUUUGUCCUACGGUUGGUGUUGGAGGCCAUUUAAGUGGAGGUGGAUAUGGAAACAUGAUGAGGAAGUAUGGGUUGUCUGUUGACAAUAUUUUGGAUGCAAUCAUAGUUGAUGCUAAUGGGAGAGUGUUGGAUAGAGAAGCAAUGGGAGAGGAUCUCUUCUGGGCUAUUAGAGGAGGAGGUGGAGCUAGCUUUGGGGUCAUUGUUUCUUGGAAAAUUAAGUUAGUUCAUGUUCCUGAAAUUGUCACUGUUUUUAGAGUUGAAAAAACAUUGGAGCAAGGUGCAUCAGACAUUGUUUAUCAAUGGCAAAAUGUUGCUGACAAGAUUCAUGAAGAUCUCUUUAUAAGGUUGGUUUUGAUCCCUGUCAUUAAAAAGGAUCAGGAAACAAUCAAAGCUAAAUUCAAUGCCCUGUUUCUCGGUAAUGCAGACAGACUUGUUGCUGUAAUGGAUGAACAGUUUCCUGAAUUGGGUUUAUCAGGCAAGGACUGCAAAGAAAUGAGCUGGAUUGAAUCAGUUUUAUUUUGGUCUAAUUAUCCAAAUGGGACUUCUGUGGAUGUUUUGCUUGAGAGACAUUCUCAAUCAGAGAAGUACUUGAAGAGGAAAUCAGAUUAUGUACAAAAUCCCAUAUCAAAGCCAGAUCUUGAAGGAAUUUGGAAGAAGAUGAUCCAACUAAAAGUCACGCUGACAUUUAAUCCAUAUGGAGGAAAAAUGAGUGAAAUUCCAGAGUCUGACACUCCAUUUCCACACAGAGCAGGGAACAUGUACAAAAUCCAAUACGCAGUGAAUUGGAAAGACGAAAAUAUUGAAACAGAGAAUCACAAAUUGGAAAUGAUAAGGCAGCUUUAUGAUUACAUGACACCAUUUGUUUCAAAAUCUCCAAGAUGUUCAUAUCUAAAUUACAGAGAUGUUGAUUUGGGUAUCAAUGAAGUUGGGAAAGAAAGCUAUGAAGAAGCAAGUCAAUGGGGGACAAAGUACUUCAAAGGCAAUUUUGACAGGUUAGUGGAAGUAAAGAGCAGGGUGGAUCCAGGUAAUUUCUUUAGAUAUGAACAAAGCAUCCCUUCUCUUGAAGCUUCCUGGAAGAGUAGAGUGGCAGGGUAGCUUGCUGCCUUGUAGAUAUGAAGCAUAUUAUUUAUGUUGUGCGAAAGAAACUCACUUUGAAGCUUACUUUCUGCUUGAGGGAAAACUAAAAUAGAAGGAAAAUGUAUUUUUCUCUUGAUUUAUUUGGAUAAAAUUCUGGACGGAAAGGAAGGGAAGUUAGUUACUAUUGUAAUAAAUAAAGUUAUACUACUAUUUAUCUUUUUCUUUUUUUCUUCACUGAAAAAUGUGUGUAGAUGGCUAAAUAAGCAAUUUGUUUUAAAUAAAUUAUUAUAAAUAAUUAAAAUGCUGUCAUUCUUCCAAAA